GUCCCUUCGGAGACAUCCGAGAAAAUUGGAACGAUACAGAGAAGAUUAGCAUGGCCCCUGUGCAAGGAUGACAUGCACAAAUCGAGAAAUGGUCCAAUUUUUU
Molecule: non-coding RNA, 103 nt
Organism: Triticum urartu
Lineage: Eukaryota; Viridiplantae; Streptophyta; Magnoliopsida; Poales; Poaceae
Source: Rfam